This 1542-nucleotide long non-coding RNA is filed under the name Piliocolobus tephrosceles (Ugandan red Colobus). RNAcentral's name for it is "lncRNA (ENSPTEG00000010097.1)". Lineage: Eukaryota; Metazoa; Chordata; Mammalia; Primates; Cercopithecidae. The record is from RNAcentral.
AACAAAACAGGAGAUAAGAAUCCAAAUGGGGUACAAGGACCAGCUAUGUUAACAACAAACCAAAAUCUACAAAAAGUAAAUACUGACGAAAUUAAUAUAUCAAAGAAAAAUGUAAGUACAUUGAUAAGAGAAAUGAAAAAAAAAAGAAGUACGCUCAAUGAAGAAUAUAAUAACUUGAGACAAUAUAUGUUGGAAAAUUUUACUGGAAAAAACCUUGAGUAUAAUGAUAGUAUGGAGAAUGUAGUUCGUUUAUUCUUGUCAAAAUUUACAGGCGAACUUUCACAUGGAAAUAAAGGUUACUCUAUACUUUUUUUUCAUUAUACUAAAAAUAAUAAGACAAAUGAUCCAGCUAAAAUUGUCCCAAAAAUUUUGGUAUGUAAAUUUAAUAAUCAUAUGAAAUCAUGUGGUAGAGUAGAUUCAUCACAAAUGCGAGAUAUUUAUGCAGUUGAAAACCAUAAAGAUCAAAUUGAAAACAGCAUAUUUAUGCUAUCAAAUAUAUACACUAAAAAUAUUAAUAUCAACGACGAAGAUUUCAAAUCAGGUUACUUCGCAUACUUUAUAGAUUAUUUUUACAACUCUGAAUUAAAACAAAUGAAACUCUCAAUAAACGGCAUUAUAUGUACAAGUAAAACCAAUAACAAAAAUUGUGAAAUGUUGAACCCUUUGCCUCUCAAUAAAUCAUUGUAUCCAGAUCUGUGUUUUUAUAUUAAACCACUGAACAUCCCCAUACAAAAAACUAAUUCUUUAAAUGAAUGUACUGUUGAUGAAGGUUUUUAUAAAUUACCAUAUUCAGAUGAUCAUCCAGAUAAACUUUACAUGUUAAAACGUUUUAAAUAUAAUUAUUACUAUUAUACAGAAUUUCCGGUAUCAUUUUUUUUAAAACAUUUCUGUGGUAAAAUAAAAAUAAAUGAAAAUGAAUGUAAAAAAAUGUAUUCGCAUAUAAACCAGCAGGUGAAAGAAAAUCCUAAUAAAGCUUUAGAUUUUCUAACAACAUGUAUGGGAUCUUAUUAUAAGGAAGCAGGACAACCAGCUAAUACUGAUUCUACAAAAUUAAAAAAAAAAAUAAUAAAUAGCCCAACACGUAAAGAUAAAAUUCAUAAUAAAUUCUUAAAACAACUUCUAAAAUAUGUAAAUGAUCGUGACAUCAACCGUUGUAAAAAUACUUAUCAAAUAUUAGCUACCUUUAAUUCACUUAGAUAUUCCGAAUUAGCAUCUAAAUUUAACCAAAUUACCAACAAUUAAGCUAAUAUUUCCACAGGUCAUACCAAUUUAUUUACCCAGCCCACAUAAAAUUGCCACUAAAUCAGAACCCAGCUUUAAAAGAAAUACCACUAUAUCAAAAUUCACUAUUGUAAAUAAUAACGAUAAACCAGAACCCCUUCCUGAAAAAAAAAAAAGGACUCUAAAUCAGCACCCAGCCUUGAAGCAAAUGACUCUAAGUCAGCACUCAACUCUUAAGGUAAUACCAUUAUAUCAGCACCUAGCCCUCAGGCAAAUGACAUUGAAUUAGAAUCUAGUGCUACAUUUUUUAAUUUAAUUUAU